This 483-nucleotide ribosomal RNA is filed under the name uncultured bacterium. RNAcentral's name for it is "bacterial SSU rRNA". It matches the Rfam family "Bacterial small subunit ribosomal RNA", at positions 30 to 507 of the family's 1533-position model. The record is from RNAcentral.
AUUGAACGCUGGCGGCAUGCCUUACACAUGCAAGUCGAACGGCAGCACGGGGCAACCUGGUGGCGAGUGGCGAACGGGUGAGUAAUGUAUCGGAACGUACCAUUCAGUGGGGGAUAACGUAGCGAAAGUUACGCUAAUACCGCAUAUUCUGUGAGCAGGAAAGCAGGGGAUCGCAAGACCUUGCGCUGAUUGAGCGGCCGAUAUCAGAUUAGCUAGUUGGUGAGGUAAAAGCUCACCAAGGCGACGAUCUGUAGCGGGUCUGAGAGGAUGAUCCGCCACACUGGAACUGAGACACGGUCCAGACUCCUACGGGAGGCAGCAGUGGGGAAUUUUGGACAAUGGGGGCAACCCUGACGCAGCAACGCCGCGUGAGUGAGGAAGGUUUUCGGACUGUAAAGCUCUGUCGAGCGGGAAGAAGUGUACCAUGGCUAAUAUCCAUGAUAUUUGACGGUACCGCUAGAGGAAGCACCGGCUAACUCCGUG